UUGUGGUUAAAAAGCUCGUAGUUGGAUCUCAACAGCCUUGGAAGCGGUUAACUUUGUAGUUUUACUGCUUUAUAGGCUGUGCUUUUGCUGGAGGUUUAGGGGUGCUCUUGAUCGAGUGUCUCUGGAUGCCAGCAGGUUUACUUUGAAAAAAUUAGAGUGCUCAAAGCAGGCUAAAAUGCCUGAAUAUUCGUGCAUGGAAUAAUAGAAUAGGAUGUCGAUCCUAUUUUGUUGGUUUUCGGGACUCGACAUAAUGAUAAAUAGGGACAGUCGGGGGCAUUUGUAUUCAAACGACAGAGGUGAAAUUCUUGGACCGUUUGAAGACAAACUACUGCGAAAGCAUUUGCCAAGAAUGUUUUCAUUAACCAAGAACGAAAGUUAGAGGUUCGAAGGCGAUUAGAUACCGCCCUAGUUCUAACCAUAAACGAUGCCAGCUAGCGAUCUGCCUGCGUUUUUACUGUA
Molecule: ribosomal RNA, 459 nt
Filed under: uncultured marine eukaryote
Lineage: Eukaryota
Description: SSU rRNA
Rfam family: Eukaryotic small subunit ribosomal RNA
Source: RNAcentral